UAAUAAGUGUUUUAUGGCACUUUUUAAAUCCAUAUCCACCUUGUGUGCAAUGUCAGUCGAUCUUCUUCAUGGAGAUCGACCAAACAUCAACCUUUAUCUUUUAACUCUUUGUCUGAAAAAUAUUAUGAAUAAACAAUUCAAAAUA
Molecule: unclassified non-coding RNA, 145 nt
Filed under: soil metagenome
Also listed under: 1 other name
Description: partial internal transcribed spacer 1
Source: RNAcentral